AUUGAACGCUGGCGGCAGGCCUAACACAUGCAAGUCGAGCGGAUGAAGGGAGCUUACUCCUGGAUUCAGCGGCGGACGGGUGAGUAAUGCCUAGGAAUCUGCCUGGUAGUGGGGGAUAACGUCCGGAAACGGGCGCUAAUACCGCAUACGUCCUGAGGGAGAAAGUGGGGGAUCUUCGGACCUCACGCUAUCAGCUGAGCCUCGGUCGGCUUAGCUAGUUGGUGGGGUAACGGCCUACCAAGGCGACGAUCCGUAACUGGUCUGAGAGGAUGACCAGUCACACUAGAACUGAGACACGGUCCAGACUCCUACGGGAGGCAGCAGUGGGGAAUAUUGGACAAUGGGCGAAAGCCUGAUCCAGCCAUGCCGCGUGUGUGAAGAAGGUCUUCGGAUUGUAAAGCACUUUAAGUUGGGAGGAAGGGCAGUAAGUUAAUACCUUGCUGUUCUGACGUUACCAACAGAAUAAGCACCGGCUAACUUCGUG
RNAcentral lists this ribosomal RNA (484 nucleotides) under uncultured bacterium. RNAcentral describes it as "partial 16S ribosomal RNA". It matches the Rfam family "Bacterial small subunit ribosomal RNA", at positions 30 to 507 of the family's 1533-position model. The record is from RNAcentral.